This 216-nucleotide long non-coding RNA is filed under the name Hordeum vulgare. Its description in RNAcentral is "long non-coding RNA (HVUL_LNC003548)". The record is from RNAcentral. Lineage: Eukaryota; Viridiplantae; Streptophyta; Magnoliopsida; Poales; Poaceae.
UUUCCUCUGCUUUUUGAUCGCAAUUGGGACAGCAGGGGUCAACAAUCUGCAUUCCUCUUCUGGUUAAUAGUGAUCUUGUAGGAAUGUUGUUAUGAGCUGUAUUAACCAGAGGAAUUUUUUUAUUUAAGUCUGUUGUUGGAUCUCCAGAUUUGCUUGAAGAAACUAUUCCCCUCUUGCUCUCCCAGUAGCUGCUUAUAGGCCUUCAUUGAAGAAAUU